RNAcentral lists this ribosomal RNA (480 nucleotides) under Streptococcus mitis. RNAcentral's name for it is "bacterial SSU rRNA". It matches the Rfam family "Bacterial small subunit ribosomal RNA", at positions 28 to 493 of the family's 1533-position model. The record is from RNAcentral. Lineage: Bacteria; Bacillati; Bacillota; Bacilli; Lactobacillales; Streptococcaceae.
GACGAACGCUGGCGGCGUGCCUAAUACAUGCAAGUAGAACGCUGAAGGAGGAGCUUGCUUCUCUGGAUGAGUUGCGAACGGGUGAGUAACGCGUAGGUAACCUGCCUGGUAGCGGGGGAUAACUAUUGGAAACGAUAGCUAAUACCGCAUAAGAGUAGAUGUUGCAUGACAUUUGCUUAAAAGGUGCAAUUGCAUCACUACCAGAUGGACCUGCGUUGUAUUAGCUAGUUGGUGGGGUAACGGCUCACCAAGGCGACGAUACAUAGCCGACCUGAGAGGGUGAUCGGCCACACUGGGACUGAGACACGGCCCAGACUCCUACGGGAGGCAGCAGUAGGGAAUCUUCGGCAAUGGACGGAAGUCUGACCGAGCAACGCCGCGUGAGUGAAGAAGGUUUUCGGAUCGUAAAGCUCUGUUGUAAGAGAAGAACGAGUGUGAGAGUGGAAAGUUCACACUGUGACGGUAUCUACCAGAAAGGAC